Molecule: long non-coding RNA, 197 nt
Organism: Lagenorhynchus albirostris (white-beaked dolphin)
Lineage: Eukaryota; Metazoa; Chordata; Mammalia; Artiodactyla; Delphinidae
Exons: 2
Source: RefSeq, a predicted model, not a curated record
AAAAAAGUCAGAAGACACCGAAGGUCUGAUGACAGUAGAGUGGUGGGAUCAGACAUGAGCCCAUCUGUCUUUGGCCUGAGGGAAAGAUGGGGACAAAGGAGACCAUGGAGAACCGAGAGACCAUGUGAAGGAGGCCAGGCUAGCCGGCUGGCUGAUGAGACACGUGGCCCAUUGGCCCCAUCACUCCAGUCAACAGC